Molecule: ribosomal RNA, 1206 nt
Filed under: Caridina cumariae
Lineage: Eukaryota; Metazoa; Arthropoda; Malacostraca; Decapoda; Atyidae
Description: partial 16S ribosomal RNA
Rfam family: Bacterial large subunit ribosomal RNA (bases 863-1206)
Source: RNAcentral
UGAGCGUUUUAGGUGGCUUAAAAUUGUUUCUUACUUUUAUUAGUGGGUAUUGGGUAUUUUUAGUAAAAAAUUAUAUUUUAUUGGGUAAGUAUGGAAUAAUGAACAUUUAAAGUGGGUUAUAGUUUAGUUUUGUACCGUAGGGGGUUGUUGUAUAUUUAGUAAAAAGAAAAAGUUAAUUUUUGUACCUUUUGUAUCAGGGGCAGUCAAAAUACUUGACUUAUUGGUCGGCAUCUCGAAGUGAAAUGAGUAAAUANGCUAUUAUUGUUUAUGUGGAAAAAUGAAAUUGUUAAUAGUGUGUUGGUGAUGAAAUGUCAGUCGAUUUUCAUAUAUCUAGUUUUUCUUGAAGCAAAUUUAAUUUGAUUUUUUAUUUAAGGAUGUAAAAAUUGGAUCUUAAGGGGGAUGAGCUCCUUAGGUGGUGUGUAGGGUGAGAUAGUUAGUUUACCUUUUAUUUAGGCUUAAGAUCAGCCAUAUUUUUAAAUCGUUCUAGGUAAUAAGUUUGUUAAUAAUUAUUUAUAUCUUACCUACUGGGCAUAGGGGAAACUUUGUUUUAGUUUAUUAAACAAUUUUAUAAUGAUUGUAUUAGUAGAGAUAUUUUGUGAACUUAAAAGUUAGAUUUUUAAGUUUAAGUGUAUAGGGNUAUAGUUGCAUCUAAGGAAUUCGGCAAAUUUUACUCCUGCCUGUUUAUCAAAAACAUGUCUGUAUGAAGGGUUAAUAUACAGUCUGACCUGCCCCCUGAGAGUUUAAAGGGCCGCGGUAUUUGAACCGUGCUAAGGUAGCGUAAUAAAUAGUCUUUUAAUUGAGGUCUAGAAUGAAUGGUUGGACAGGGAGUGGGCUGUUUUAGUUGUAAUAAUUGAACUUUACUUUUGAGUGAAAAGGCUUAAAUUGGAUGGUGGGACGAUAAGACCCUAUAAAGCUUUACAUUUUAUUUGUGGGUAAAGGGGUUUAUGGUUUUUUAUUCUUAUCAGGUGAAGUGUUUCGUNGGGGCGACGGGAAUAUAACAUAUUAACUGUUUUUUUUAUAAAAAUAAGAUUUGUUAGGGAAUUGAUCCUUUGUAGAGAUUAAAAGAAUUAAGUUACUUUAGGGAUAACAGCGUAAUUUUUCUUAAGAGUUCUUAUCGACAGAAGUAGUUGCGACCUCGAUGUUGAAUUAAGAUGCCGCCCAGGUGUAGCAGUUUUGGUGGUGGGUCUGUUCGACCUUUAAANUCUU